GCCGAGGCCGGACGACGCGGCCCGGAGCGUGGAGCCGCGAGCAGCGCUGGGUAACGGCCACGGCGACCUCCAAGACGGCGCCGGUUCCCGCCGCCGGGCUUUCCUGUCGCCAUUCGUUGCGCUGCCGGCUUCUUGGUGAAUUUUUGGAUGAAGCCAUUAAAUUAAUUGCUUGCCACCAUGAGCAGAAGCAAGCGUGACAGCAAUUUUUAUAGUGUAGAGAUUGGAGAUUCUACAUUCACAGUCCUGAAACGGUAUCAGAAUUUAAAACCUAUAGGUUCAGGAGCCCAAGGAAUAGUAUGUGCAGCUUAUGAUGCCAUUCUUGAAAGAAAUGUUGCAAUCAAGAAGCUAAGCCGGCCAUUUCAGAAUCAAACUCAUGCUAAGCGUGCUUACAGAGAGCUAGUUCUUAUGAAAUGUGUAAAUCACAAAAAUAUAAUUGGCCUUUUGAAUGUUUUUACACCACAGAAAUCCCUAGAAGAAUUUCAAGAUGUUUACAUAGUCAUGGAGCUCAUGGAUGCAAAUCUUUGUCAAGUGAUUCAGAUGGAACUAGAUCAUGAAAGAAUGUCCUACCUUCUCUAUCAGAUGCUGUGUGGAAUCAAACACCUUCACUCUGCUGGAAUUAUUCAUCGGGACUUAAAGCCCAGUAAUAUAGUAGUAAAAUCAGACUGCACUUUGAAGAUUCUUGACUUUGGACUGGCCAGGACUGCAGGAACUAGUUUUAUGAUGACACCUUACGUAGUGACUCGCUACUACAGAGCACCUGAGGUCAUCCUAGGGAUGGGCUACAAAGAAAACGUUGACAUUUGGUCAGUUGGGUGCAUCAUGGGAGAAAUGAUCAAAGGUGGUGUUUUGUUCCCAGGUACUGAUCAUAUUGAUCAGUGGAAUAAAGUUAUUGAACAGCUUGGAACACCAUGUCCUGAAUUCAUGAAGAAACUACAACCAACAGUAAGGACUUAUGUUGAAAACAGACCUAAAUAUGCUGGAUAUAGCUUUGAGAAACUCUUCCCUGAUGUACUUUUCCCAGCUGACUCGGAACACAAUAAACUUAAAGCCAGUCAGGCAAGGGAUUUGUUAUCUAAAAUGCUGGUAAUUGAUGCAUCUAAAAGGAUUUCUGUAGAUGAAGCUCUCCAGCACCCGUAUAUCAACGUCUGGUAUGAUCCUUCUGAAGCAGAAGCUCCACCACCAAAGAUACCUGACAAGCAGUUAGAUGAAAGGGAACACACAAUAGAAGAGUGGAAAGAAUUGAUAUACAAAGAAGUUAUGGACUUGGAGGAGAGAACCAAGAAUGGAGUUAUACGGGGGCAACCCUCUCCUUUAGGUGCAGCAGUGAUCAAUGGCUCUCAGCAUCCAUCGUCAUCAUCGUCUGUCAAUGAUGUGUCUUCAAUGUCAACAGAUCCGACUUUGGCCUCGGAUACAGACAGCAGUCUAGAAGCAUCAGCUGGACCUCUGGGCUGCUGUAGAUGACUACUUGGGCCUUGUGGGGGUGGGAGGGAUGGGGAGUUGUUUAGUCAUUGAUAGAACUACUUUGAAAACAAUUCAGUGGUCUUAUUUUUGAGUGAUUUUUCAAAAACAUAGAAUUCAUUUUGUAGUAAAGUAGUUUUUUUCUUAAUUUCAAGUGAUGUAAUUUAAAACUUAAGUUGUGUUUUAAAACAGCAACAAAACUAUUUUUGCUGUAAUUAACUGUAUAAUGUAAACCUAAUUAUUUUAUCAUGGUUUAAAAUUUUUGCAUAUUUGCUUUAUCUUAUGCUGCUGAUUUUUUUUUUUACUGAAUUUGUAAGAUUUUGUUUAUCAAAGCAACUGUUAUGUGGUGACUUGCCUAUAUCAUGAAUUAUUUAAGAUUUUUAUAGUUUUUUUAUUAGAAUUUAUUCAGAUGUUUUGUUCAUGAUGCUAUCCUUUAGGGUUAUGUGCUUAUCAAUGAAAUAACCCCAGAGGAGUGAGGGAAAAUAACCUGUAGCCAGUUAUAUUCAGGAAUAACUACUGUAAAUGAUGAACGUGUUAAAAAAAAAACCUCCAAUAUUUGCUACUUGCCAAUUCUGAUUUAGUUACAACAAUUGGUAGGUAAUCCUACAUGAAUUUUGGCAAAAGCCCCAUCAUCUAAAUGGUAGAAUAACUCAGAGCAUGUCUUUGAAGAUGUUGGGCAUCUACCACCACCCUCCUAUCCCCCAUCCUACCCACCAAAAGUAAGAGAAUAUGGUGUUUUCUGCAAAUUUGUGGCAUGCUCAAAGCUUAUGAUCACGUAAAGUCAAGAGGCUACUUCAUGAAUAAUACAUUUCAAUGGAAAUAAACAGAUGGUUCACCUUUACUAGCUAUGAGCCUGUUUUUAUAUACACUGAGUUAAUCUACUCAGGCUGUAGGCCCCAGCAAUGAUUUAGAGUCUGGUCUUUCUCUUUCCUGCAGCCUCGGGCCCUUGGACCUAUUUGGUUUCUAGAGUGUCAGUCAGUUGAGCACCAGUUCUCAGGGUGUUUCUGGCCAUUUGAUUCUACCUGUGGCAUAAUCAUAUUUAUACUAGCUGUUGGGAGGUUCCAAAGCCUACUUAGAUUUCUGUAGGUGAUGUAUAAAAUGAGCAAUAUACCGUUCAUCUGAAAAUAGUAGCACACAGCCAUAUAUAGGAUAUCAUUUUCUAAGGAAUGUUUCUUCACAUUGAGUAGAGCAGGCAUAAUUGGUGGUUAUUUAGUCUGAGUCUUUAAUUUUUUUAUACCUGAUUUUCAAUAAAACACACAAUGUGGAUGUUGAACAGUGUAAGAAUGGUGCUGCUCCUGACAGUUGUAUGUUAACUGUUUACAUUUUAUAUCUGCAGAAUUAUUUCUCUAUAACUGAAUUUUUCUUAAGUAAAAUGUCAUUGAAGUCUCAUUAUAUCUGAAAUACAUUGUCUGUAAUGCCCCAGGCACUUUUUGUUAUUUUUGGAACAAGAGGCAUUUCAUGUAAUGAACUGGGAAAUGCAUACUUAAGUAAGCUAAAGGUUCUAGGCAGAAAGCCCAAUGGAAUUAAUGACCAGCAGGAGCAAGAACUGGUGCGGCUCAACGUGCAGCGUCUGAAAGUCCACUUGGCAUGUUAUUCAUAUAUUCAGUGCAAAAUUCGUUUUGAGUAAGGUAUUUUAGGUCAUUGUUAAUGUGCAAUAUUUAGGAUUAAAAUACAUUAAUAGCCAUUUUAUAUGCUUUGAAAUAGUAAGUUUGUCUUUGAUGGUUUAAAGUGAUUUCUAGCCUCUUGAAGUUGGCAGCCUUUUUAUUAAUCCCUUUUCUACUGAUAUGACAGGGUGCAUUAAUUAGGCAAAUUAAAGUUUUAAGACUAUAACACCUUUUGAAUCGUAGAAACAGGAUUGGAUUUACAAUUUCAGAAGAAAUUUGAGCAUGAGUGUGUUCCUAGUUUUUAUUAGUUUGACAGUUAACUAGCUUUAUUUCUAUAGGAUAGAUUAUUUCACUAUUGCACUUUAACAACUGACAUGCUCUCAGAAGAUUCCCUUAUUUUCUGUUUCCUCGCUGAUAAGCCAUCUCUUGAUACAGAUUUUGGUUAAGCAAGGAAAACCAAGUGUUGUUACAGUAUUGUUUGUUGUAAAUGCCAGCUCCCACUUGCCAACCAGCAUGUUUCAGUUGAUCAGAGAAGAUCAACUCUUAUUAGUCAUGUAGACUAAAAUACUUGUUAUAUCCUGAAAACAAAGUCUAAGUGUUGCUUGUCCUGGGUUUUUAAAAAUGCAAUAGCUAAAUACAACCUUCCCUCUUCUCUUAACUGUAUUAAAUUAAAAAUGUGCUAGUUCUUUGUAUUUUACUUUUGAACCUUUAAAAACAUCUUAAACAUUUUUUUAAAGAAAUUACAAAUAAGAUUUCUGUCAAGCAGUACUUACGUAAAGCCACUUUGCUUAUCUUAUAACUUUGUUUUUUCAACUUUAUAUACUUAAUAUACCCAUGGUCUUACUGUCAGAAAAUUACUUUGACCAAGAUAUAUUGUUUAACUUUAUAGGUUAAGAAAGAGACAAUAAUUCUUUCUACAUAUUUCUUCCUGGUUACUGUUCUGUUACCCUCUAAUAUAAACUAUUUGUUAAAUGAUUGUGUUGUUGGGAUUGCUUAAUUAUAAUAGACAUAGACAAAGCAUCUCAACUCUUCAUACUGUUUGCUGAACAGUUCUCAUUUUGUUACACACCCUCGGCUGCUGAUUGUUCCUGGUAUGCACUCUUCCAAGUUGGUAAAGGUACAGUGCAUUCACACCAGACUUCCUAAGAGAAAUGCCAGCCUCUUAAGUGAAAAGGCUACCAUACAAACCCCUUAACGAUAUCAAGAAGCUUGAUUAUAUGUGAAGCAGCAGACUUUCUCAUAAGCCCUUUCAUUAUUUUGUUCCAUGCUAAUCCUGCUGUGUUGUCUAAAAAGGUAAAGGUGAAGAGGACAUGGAUGAUCUGAUAGUGAAAUCAGCAGCAGGCAAGUGAAGUGAAGCCGUUUGGGGUUACAGAUAAGACUUGGUAUACACUAUCGGCCAGUAUGUGCUACACUAUGAAGAUGUAACUACUCAUUGUUGCCUAGGCACAAGCCUGUACAACAUUUUGAGAGAAUACAAGACAACAACGUGCUGUAUGUCUUUCCCUUUUGUUCUGUGAGGGCAUCCUGUGUGCUAAUCUACUGAUGCUUCGCCUUGGAAUCCCUUGGAUGGAAGAGCCUGUCUUACUCCUAGAUCACGAUGACUGGGAAGUAGGCAUUCAAUCAGUAUUGGUCUGGCUGCCUUGGAGAACUAAAUACCAAAUCCUCCACCGGGAGCAGCGACAAAUGGGAGACAGCAUGCAGCAGAGAAUGAGAUCACGGAGCCUGGUUAUGUGGACUCCAUUCUGAAGCCCGUUUACUGUGUGGAGUGAACACAGUUCAUGCCUGGUCUGUUAUUCCACCAGCCAGGCCCAUCCUGUGGAGCUCUGGCCCAGGCCUGGGCUGUGUGUGGCAGCAGCCACGGAAAGGUUUUCUUGAAGGAUUUACCCCCGUGGAGCCUUGAAGUCUGAGGAUGAACUGGAGGACGAAGGUAAACAGGCAGGGAAGGGAGAGGGGAUAGCACCAGCUCGAGGGGAAUUUGCAAGGGAGAUGGGCACAGUCUGAGGCGUCUGUACCUGGAGGACAGAGAACAGGCACUACCUAUCACCUUGGCUCACCUUUCCUUUAGAGGCACACCUUGUCACCCUGCACACUCCCGGGGUGCAGAAGCAGGGAGUGCAGCACCCUUGCUGAGCUCUGACUGACUCACAGGCUCUGGCUUUGGAGCAGAGCUAGAGUCAAGGGAAGGAAAGCAGGUUACAGGGGAAGGCCUGAGAGGAAUUCCAGGACAGACACAAGCUGCAGAGGCCCAGGUGGCUCAGAGAGGGAGCAAGCAGUGAGGUAAGCCAUCCUGCCCAGAGCACAGAAGAUGGAGCUGAGAGCACAGACAUGUGGCUAAGUCCAGCUUCAAUGACCAUGGCAACAGCUCCUCUGGGACCUUUGCACCCCACUUCUGAAGGCCCCACGCCAUUCCACCCAUGGGACACCUUGAGGACUCCCAACCCCGCGAGAAACAGGAGAGGUCAGUUGGUACCCUCACUUUGCAUGCCCAUGAAGGAGUCAGGCAUCCAGGCAUCAUGCUUUCAGGGCAGAUUUAAUAAAGAAUGCAAAAAGGUCCUGGUGAGCUACUCAGAUCCCAGGUGCCACCUGUUUCGGCAGCUACGGGACUGUCCCCCCGACACCUGCCAUACCCUACUCAGUCAGAGCAGCAUCCAGCUCCAGAGCAGGGCUCGGGCUCCCGACGGGGUGUCAGGACUGCUCUCUCCAGCUGGCACCAGACCUCCUGGCACCACGGAGGCCCAGGGCCAAGCUGCAGAGGCUCUGGUCCCUCCCGAGGCAAGCUGAGCAGCAGCACAGAACUCUCCCCACUCCUUUACUUUGGUGCUCUGGCACCUUUUGCCCCAGCAGUCAGGCUUCCCAGGGUUGAAAAAAACUCCUCCAUUUCCUUCUGCAGCAGCUGGUUCCUCUUCUCUGCGUCCUCCCGUGCCCGCUCCGAGUUCCUCAGCUUUAUUUCCAGCAUUGUGUACUUUUUCUUUUCCUGGUCUAGUUGUUCUUCUAGCUGUAACAUUCGUUUCCUCAGGUCGGCACUACCUUCUUCGAGUCUUAAAAUUCAAGAAGAAAGACAUCAUUUUAGACUUGGGCCUGCUGGGUUUGCCAAGAAAACUCCAUUGUCAGCAGACACUUGAUGGGGCGAAGGAGCUGACGACCCACUCCUGUGAGACAUGAGGGACUUGCUGCGCCUGGCUCCUAGGAACUGACCUGACUACAAGACACAUGACUGUGGGCAGGACUCAAACUUCACUGAGCCCUGGUGCCUCACCCUGAAAAUGCAGGGGACGGCCUUCCACCUAUGCACUGUAGCUACGAUGGACCAAGGAGACCACAUGUGCACAGCAUACCACCUGGCACAUGGUGUACCUGAAGCAAAUAUCCAUUCCCUGCCCCAUCCAGGAUGAGGCCUGGGCCUUCACCCUCAACCACUGAACACAGAGCAUGGAGAAGGGCUAAAGUCUGGAAGAAGAGAAGGAUGCCCACUUUCACUACUUCGAUAUAGUACUGCAAGUCCUAGACACAGCAAUCAGCCAAGGAAAAGAAAUAAAAGGUAUUCAAAUUGGUA
Molecule: RNA transcript, 6615 nt
Organism: Lagenorhynchus albirostris (white-beaked dolphin)
Lineage: Eukaryota; Metazoa; Chordata; Mammalia; Artiodactyla; Delphinidae
Gene: MAPK8
Gene name: mitogen-activated protein kinase 8
Exons: 17
Source: RefSeq, a predicted model, not a curated record